RNAcentral lists this ribosomal RNA (367 nucleotides) under uncultured organism. RNAcentral describes it as "bacterial SSU rRNA". It matches the Rfam family "Bacterial small subunit ribosomal RNA", at positions 526 to 896 of the family's 1533-position model. The record is from RNAcentral.
CGAAGGAUCCAAGCGUUAUCCGGAUUUAUGGGUUAAAGGGUGCGUAGGCGGAUUUGAUAAGUCAGUGGUGAAAGCCUGUUGCUUAACAACAGAACUGCCAUUGAUACUGUCAAUCUUGAAUAUGUUUGAUGUGGGCGGAAUAUGACAUGUAGCGGUGAAAUGCUUAGAUAUGUCAUAGAACACCGAUUGCGAAGGCAGCUCACAAAGCCAUUAUUGACGCUGAGGCACGAAAGCGUGGGGAUCAAACAGGAUUAGAUACCCUGGUAGUCCACGCUGUAAACUUUGAUCACUCGCUGUUGGCGAUACACUGUCAGCGGCUAAGCGAAAGCGUUAAGUGAUCCACCUGGGGAGUACGAUCGCAAGAUUG